This is a long non-coding RNA of Rhinichthys klamathensis goyatoka, 772 nucleotides long. RefSeq lists it as uncharacterized. The transcript is spliced from 3 exons. The record is from RefSeq and is a predicted model, not a curated record. Lineage: Eukaryota; Metazoa; Chordata; Actinopteri; Cypriniformes; Leuciscidae.
AUAAUUGCGCGUGCACGCCAUUGUUUAAAAGUCCUGAAAAGUCGAGCAUGGGUCAAUCGAUUUACUGUGGGCUACCAUGGCAACAAAAGGAAAAGAUAGAGCAGCGAUGUUCACGGCAACGGAACAGCGUUUGCUAUUGGAAACAUAUGAAGAAUUUAAAGAUGUCAUCACCAAAAAAGGCAAUACAGUGGCAAUAAAUAAAGCAAGAGAGAAAGGUUGGCUGGAAAUUGCUGAUCGUCUCAAUGCGUAAGUAGCGGUGUAAACUAUUUAAAAUACUUUAUCAACAUUGAAUGUGUGUCACAAUACAUUGCAAAGUUUGUGUGUGAAUAACAGUAAUGUUAAUUGCUUUCACGCAGCAGCAACUUAAGUGAAGGAAAAAGAACCUGGCAGCAGGUGAAAAUAAAAUAUAAAAAUAUAGUUCAGAAUGCGACCAAAAAGAAGACUGAGGUUGCUGGCACUGGGGGAGGGCCACCACCAGCCAGCUUCACUCCUGCAGAGGAGCUGGCUUUGGAAAUUAAUAAAGGGAGGCCUGUCCUUGAGGGAAUAGAGGGGGGGACAUCAUCUAAAAUGAUAUCACGUAGUAUAAGGAGUGAGUAUAUAAAAGAUUCUGUAUGCUUUAUGGAUCCACCAGACAUCAUGUUGCCUGUGAGUAUGAGACCUUUUAAAUCAGUCAUGUAAGCUAAUGAGUUUAACUGAGUUUAAUCAGUGGUCACAGGGAGAAGGCCCAUCAGUUGAGGAGGAUGAGGAGACUGUGUCUGAAUGUUCAAGGAGG